UACGUAUGGUGCAAGCGUUAUCCGGAUUUACUGGGUGUAAAGGGAGCGUAGACGGAUAGGCAAGUCUGGAGUGAAAGCCCGGGGCUCAACCCCGGGACUGCUUUGGAAACUGUUUAUCUAGAGUGCUGGAGAGGUAAGUGGAAUUCCUAGUGUAGCGGUGAAAUGCGUAGAUAUUAGGAGGAACACCAGUGGCGAAGGCGACUUACUGGACUGUAACUGACGUUGAGGCACGAAAGUGUGGGGAGCAAACAGG
This 253-nucleotide ribosomal RNA is filed under the name uncultured bacterium. RNAcentral describes it as "partial 16S ribosomal RNA". It matches the Rfam family "Bacterial small subunit ribosomal RNA", at positions 524 to 776 of the family's 1533-position model. The record is from RNAcentral.